RNAcentral lists this non-coding RNA (275 nucleotides) under Bacillus methanolicus MGA3. The record is from RNAcentral. Lineage: Bacteria; Bacillati; Bacillota; Bacilli; Caryophanales; Bacillaceae.
AGCCAUACCAGCGCCUAAUGCAAUCACUGAUGUCAACAUUUUAUUCAUAUUAUUUUUCACCCCAUCCGAAAAAUUAAAUUAAAGACUUAAACGGCGAAUUUCUUCAUCGAACAAAUCAUCCAGAGAGCUUAAUGAUCCAUCUUCCUCGACUUGAUGGGUAUUAAUCAUAUUUUUUGAAACGGACAACUCUAUAAAGCAGUUCCAGCAAUAAUAUUGGUUAAUACCUAUUUUUCCAAUAUCUUUACUCUGGCAAUUCGGACACUUUAACAUGGGAC